This 72-nucleotide transfer RNA is filed under the name Camelus ferus (Wild Bactrian camel). It matches the Rfam family "tRNA". Rfam says of the family: Transfer RNA (tRNA) molecules are approximately 80 nucleotides in length. Their secondary structure includes four short double-helical elements and three loops (D, anti-codon, and T loops). Further hydrogen bonds mediate the characteristic L-shaped molecular structure. tRNAs have two regions of fundamental functional importance: the anti-codon, which is responsible for specific mRNA codon recognition, and the 3' end, to which the tRNAs corresponding amino acid is attached (by aminoacyl-tRNA synthetases). tRNAs cope with the degeneracy of the genetic code in two manners: having more than one tRNA (with a specific anti-codon) for a particular amino acid; and 'wobble' base-pairing, i.e. permitting non-standard base-pairing at the 3rd anti-codon position. Lineage: Eukaryota; Metazoa; Chordata; Mammalia; Artiodactyla; Camelidae. The record is from Rfam by way of RNAcentral.
AGGGAUACAGCCCAGUGGCGGAGCAUAUGUUUAGCACGCAUGAGGUCCCGGGUUCAAUCCCCAGUACCUCCA